This 119-nucleotide ribosomal RNA is filed under the name Eucalyptus grandis. Lineage: Eukaryota; Viridiplantae; Streptophyta; Magnoliopsida; Myrtales; Myrtaceae. The record is from RNAcentral.
GGGUGCGAUUAUACCAGCACUAAUGCACCGGAUCCCAUCAGAACUCCGAAGUUAAGCGUGCUUGGGUGAGAGUAGUGCUAGGAUGGGUGACCUCUUGGGAAGUCCUCGUGUUGCACCCC